RNAcentral lists this long non-coding RNA (1485 nucleotides) under Calidris pugnax (ruff). Its description in RNAcentral is "lncRNA (ENSCPUG00000005245.1)". The record is from RNAcentral. Lineage: Eukaryota; Metazoa; Chordata; Aves; Charadriiformes; Scolopacidae.
AUGCUCUAUGUACUGCCCAUUAUGAUGUUUAUCACUUCUGGGAGAGGGAUCAGGAUUAUAAUAUUGCUGUCCUGUGUGAUAUCAACUUAUGAUAUGAUAGCAUCACUGUUCAGAUGGUUUUGUUGGGGCAUUUAUUCAGCAUUGCUUUCCUGCCCACAUCUUGGGGAAUUUAUUGAUAAACACACUGAAUCUAUGAGGGAAGCAGGAGGGGAUAUUUUCCCCAGCUCUUUCACCUCCUUUUUCAUGCUGGAUACGCCAGUUUUUGAGAAUUUUGAAUACCCUUGGGACGUGCAAACCAGUUUGGUCUUACUGCUAGGUCUUCUGAAUGUGUUUCAGUUUUUGUUUAGGGUUAAGCAACUAUUUAAAGCUACCACCAAGAGAUCUGCCCCGAGGCUGGAGGGUCAUGGGUGGCAUGGCAUGUGGGAGAACAUGGGCAGGUAUCUAGAGACUUUUUCACCUCCAAUGGUCUGGGAUUUUACCAUCGAACAAUUACAGGACCCUGAUAAAGUGACAGAAUAUUUGAAAGGAAAAUGCUGUGGCUAUUCCAGAGAGGCACAGCUCACUGCAUUGUGCUGGGCCUUGGCCAGUAUCUACCGAGCAUUGCUCGGUGUUGUGCAGCAUCCUCAGGGGGAAGACAUGGAAACCAGGCCGACAGACGCUGUGGCUGCUCCAACCCCUGCAGUAGACACUGUGGCUGCUCCAACCCCUGCAGCAGGUGUUGUGGCUACUCCAACACCUGCAGCAGGCACUGCAACUGAACCAGAAAAUCAACCUGUGCCCAUAUCAGUCGCCCCUAUCCAGAAGAAGAAAUGCAACAAGAAAUCAGUUCGCUUAGUGAGGGAUGACAAUGAACCAGGGUCAUCACGAGAACAAGAAGAAGAGGCAGAACCAGAGAUAAUCACUCAAUCCCUGUCCCUGAGCAAGCUGCGGGACAUGCGGAAAGAUUUCAGCCAACUUUCAGAGAUAAUCACUCAAUCCCUGUCCCUGAGCAAGCUGCGGGACAUGCGGAAAGAUUUCAGCCAACUUUCAGGUGAGCACAUUGUCACCUGGCUGCUCUGGUGCUGGGAUAACGGAGCCAGUAGCUUGGAAUUGGAGGGUAGGGAAGCCAGGCAGCUGGGAUCUCUGUCUAGAGAGGGGGGCAUUGACAAGGCAAUUGGGAAGAAGACACAGGUCCUCAGCCUCUGGAGGCAACUCCUAUCAGGUGUGAGGGAAAGGUACCCCUUCAGUGAAGAUGUUGUAUGCCAUCCGAGCAAGUGGACCACCAUGGAGAGAGGUAUCCAGUACCUGAGAGAACUAGCCAUGCAGGAGAUGAUUUAUUGUGACCUGGAUAAUGCACAGUCACCCACAGAUCCUGAGGAGGUCCAGUGCACAAGGUCCAUGUGGCGGAAGUUUGUACGGAGCGCCCCAUCAUCAUAUGCCAACUCAUUGGCAGUGAUGGAAUGGAGAGGUGAAGAGGGACCAACGGUGGAUGAGGUGGCUGCCUGA